RNAcentral lists this unclassified non-coding RNA (399 nucleotides) under soil metagenome. RNAcentral describes it as "partial contains 5.8S ribosomal RNA, internal transcribed spacer 2, and large subunit ribosomal RNA". The stretch from base 1 to 122 matches the Rfam family "5.8S ribosomal RNA", at positions 35 to 154 of the family's 154-position model. The record is from RNAcentral.
GAUGAAGAACGCAGCGAAAUGCGAUACUUGGUGUGAAUUGCAGAAUCCCGUGAACCAUCGAGUCUUUGAACGCAAGUUGCGCCUCAAGCCAUUAGGUUGAGGGCACGUCUGCCUGGGCGUCACAUAUCGUUGCCUGAUGCCAGUUUCCUCGUGAUGGGUGACUGUGCAGGGCGAAUGAUGGCUUCCCGUGAGCAUUGUUGCCUCAUGGUUGGUUGAAAAUUGAGUCCUUGGUAGGGAGCGCCGUGAUAGAUGGUGGUUGAGUGACGAACGAGACCCAAUCAUGUGAGACCCCUACCGAAUUUGGCCUUCAUGACCCACAUGCGUCUUUGGAACGCUCAUGACGAGACCUCAGGUCAGGCGGGGCUACCCGCUGAGUUUAAGCAUACAAUAAGCGGAGGA